Molecule: ribosomal RNA, 492 nt
Filed under: uncultured bacterium
Lineage: Bacteria
Description: partial 16S ribosomal RNA
Rfam family: Bacterial small subunit ribosomal RNA
Source: RNAcentral
AGUGAACGCUGGCGGUAGGCCUAACACAUGCAAGUCGAACGGCAGCACAGUAAGAGCUUGCUCUUACGGGUGGCGAGUGGCGGACGGGUGAGGAAUACAUCGGAAUCUACUUUUUCGUGGGGGAUAACGUAGGGAAACUUACGCUAAUACCGCAUACGACCUACGGGUGAAAGCAGGGGAUCUUCGGACCUUGCGCGAUUGAAUGAGCCGAUGUCGGAUUAGCUAGUUGGCGGGGUAAAGGCCCACCAAGGCGACGAUCCGUAACUGGUCUGAGAGGAUGAUCAGCCACACUGGAACUGAGACACGGUCCAGACUCCUACGGGAGGCAGCAGUGGGGAAUAUUGGACAAUGGGCGCAAGCCUGAUCCAGCCAUACCGCGUGGGUGAAGAAGGCCUUCGGGUUGUAAAGCCCUUUUGUUGGGAAAGAAAAGCAGCAGGUUAAUACCCCGCUGUUCUGACGGUACCCUAAGAAUAAGCACCGGCUAACUUCGUG